UGCGUAGGCGGGUCUUUAAGUCAGGGGUGAAAUCCUGGAGCUUAACUCCAGAACUGCCUUUGAUACUGAAGAUCUUGAGUUCGGGAGAGGUGAGUGGAACUGCGAGUGUAGAGGUGAAAUUCGUAGAUGUUCGCAAGAACACCAGUGGCGAAGGCGGCUCACUGGCCCGAUACUGACGCUGAGGCACGAAAGCGUGGGAGCAAACA
Molecule: ribosomal RNA, 206 nt
Filed under: uncultured bacterium
Lineage: Bacteria
Description: partial 16S ribosomal RNA
Rfam family: Bacterial small subunit ribosomal RNA
Source: RNAcentral